Long non-coding RNA from Pelmatolapia mariae (spotted tilapia), 223 nucleotides. RefSeq lists it as uncharacterized. The transcript is spliced from 3 exons. Lineage: Eukaryota; Metazoa; Chordata; Actinopteri; Cichliformes; Cichlidae. The record is from RefSeq and is a predicted model, not a curated record.
AGUGAAAGAGAUCUUUGGUUUUGCCUUUGCUGACUGCUGAUCUGAUCAUCUCAAGUCUGGUGACCUGCUGCAGAAAACCCUCUCCCUCUAUCAUUAACAAGCAAUUCAGUCUGUCCUAUCACUCUCCCUCUCCCUGCUCCAUCUUUUUUGACAAGCCAUUCUAUCUUCUAUCAUUUCUCCGCCAUGAGCUCUAUCUAAGUUGACAAGCUUGAACCUGAGUUGA